CAGGCGCCCCUCUCCGUGUGGGUUUCCGUAGUAUGGGAGGAAGAGAGGGGUAAGGGAGGGCUCCAGGUGCGGAAAGGGGCUCUAUAUUCUCGAGGUGUGGGGUAAUACCCCAGUCACUCCCUGAUCCUCUGUGUCCCCCGCUGCCCUACAGAAGAACCACCGUCUCAGCCUGCCCACCCCAGGCUCGGGUACGAGCCUCAGUGCAGCCAUCCACCGCACCCAACCCUGGUUCCACGGACGCAUUUCCCGAGAGGAGAGCCAGCGGCUCAUCGGGCAGCAGGGCCUGGUAGACGGCCUGUUCCUGGUCCGAGAGAGUCAGCGCAACCCACAGGGCUUUGUCCUCUCCUUGUGCCACCUGCAGAAGGUCAAACAUUAUCUUAUCCUCCCGAGCGAGGAGGAGGGCCGCCUCUACUUCAGCAUGGACGACGGCCAGACUCGCUUCACCGACCUGCUGCAGCUCGUGGAGUUCCACCAGCUGAACCGCGGCAUCCUGCCCUGCUUCCUGCGUCACUGUUGUACUCGCGUGGCCCUCUGACGGCCGCUCCCAGUGUGGCCCCGGAGGUGCAGAAGCUCGCCAAGCAUCGGAGCGCACCCCUGCUCCGGAUAGAGUUUCUGCUUUGCUCCUUUGCCUCCCCCUCAGGCAGAAAGAUUCCCCACCCCCCACCUCUUUCCUCAAGAAAAGGCACUGGGGGCGGCCCUCCCCUCCGUGGGGCCCCUGCGGCAGGGCAUUGUGGGAGAAAUGGGGGCAGCCCAGGUGGUCUGAUGCCCCACACUUUGUACAGACUGAGAGGCCAGUUGAUCUACUGUUUUAUACGAGUGACAAUAAAGAUUAUUUUUUGAUACA
Molecule: non-coding RNA, 844 nt
Organism: Leptonychotes weddellii (Weddell seal)
Lineage: Eukaryota; Metazoa; Chordata; Mammalia; Carnivora; Phocidae
Source: RefSeq, a predicted model, not a curated record